This 461-nucleotide ribosomal RNA is filed under the name uncultured bacterium. RNAcentral's name for it is "partial 16S ribosomal RNA". It matches the Rfam family "Bacterial small subunit ribosomal RNA", at positions 28 to 507 of the family's 1533-position model. The record is from RNAcentral.
GACGAACGCUGGCGGCGUGCUUAACACAUGCAAGUCGAGCGGAAAGGCCCUUCGGGGUACUCGAGCGGCGAACGGGUGAGUAACACGUGAGUAACCUGCCCCAGACUUUGGGAUAACCCUCGGAAACGGGGGCUAAUACCGGAUACGACACAGCUUCGCAUGGGGUCUGUGUGGAAAGUUUUUCGGUUUGGGAUGGGCUCGCGGCCUAUCAGCUUGUUGGUGGGGUGAUGGCCUACCAAGGCGACGACGGGUAGCCGGCCUGAGAGGGCGACCGGCCACACUGGGACUGAGACACGGCCCAGACUCCUACGGGAGGCAGCAGUGGGAAUAUUGCACAAUGGGCGGAAGCCUGAUGCAGCGACGCCGCGUGAGGGAUGACGGCCUUCGGGUUGUAAACCUCUUUCAGCAGGGACGAAGCGUAAGUGACGGUACCUGCAGAAGAAGCGCCGGCCAACUACGUG